Molecule: ribosomal RNA, 517 nt
Filed under: uncultured fungus
Lineage: Eukaryota; Fungi
Description: eukaryotic LSU rRNA
Rfam family: Eukaryotic large subunit ribosomal RNA
Source: RNAcentral
CCCGCUGAACUUAAGCAUAUCAGUAAGCGGAGGAAAAAGAAACUAACAAGGAUUCCCCCAGUAACUGCGAGUGAAGUGGGAAGCAAGCCCGUACCCGAAUCCUGAUAGAAGAGAUUCUUUCAGGAGGUGUAGGGUGAUGUGAGACAAGUGUUUAAAUGCAUUGGAAAAUGCUACCAAGGAGGGUGAUAGUCCCGUGAAACACUUGUUAUAUCAUUUCAUGACGAGUCGAGCUGUUUGGGAUUGCAGCUCUAAUUGGGUGGUAAAUCUCAUCCAAGGCUAAAUAUCAACAAGAGACCGAUAGCAAACAAGUACCGUGAGGGAAAGAUGAAAAGCACCUUGAAAAGGGAAUUAAAAGCACGUGAAAUUGUUAAAAGGGAACCGUAACCGAGAGACUAGAACCCUUUGCGUUGUGUGUUGGGAGUAGGUGUGUUAGUCACAUUUGUGAUGCACAUUUAUAUUUCAACGCACGGCACAAGUGUGAUGCACUCUCUUUGUUAUGACCCGUCUUGAAACACGG